RNAcentral lists this long non-coding RNA (302 nucleotides) under Nicotiana tabacum (common tobacco). Its description in RNAcentral is "long non-coding RNA (NTAB_LNC018798)". The record is from RNAcentral. Lineage: Eukaryota; Viridiplantae; Streptophyta; Magnoliopsida; Solanales; Solanaceae.
UACAGAUCGCCGGCAACUUCGCUCCGGUGCCGGAACAGCCCGUUCGGCAUAGUCUUCCGGUUACAGGGACAAUCCCCGAUUGCAUUAACGGGGUUUAUGUCCGUAAUGGUGCUAAUCCGCUCUUUGAACCAGUAGCAGGUCACCACCUUUUUGAUGGCGACGGCAUGAUUCAUGCCGUCACCAUCGAUAAUAGCUCAGUGAGCUAUUCUUGCCGUUUCACUGAAACGCAAAGAUUAGUCCAAGAACGUGAAUUGGGUCGCCCUGUUUUUCCAAAAGCCAUUGGUGAACUUCAUGGCCAUUCU